AAACACCGAAAGCGAUGGACUGAGACGAACGCCAUGCUAGGACGAUCGAGAUCCUAUCGAAGUUGUAGAAUUAAAAUCGAUAGCUGUUCACUGAUUCGAUUGCGAGGCGUACGUACAUGCGUACAUGGCUACGACGAUCGUCUUCACGUCGCAUUCGCUUAUUUCGCGCAGAUGUCAAUAAAUAUUACUCACUAAUAAUAACUUGAUUGGUUAUAAGAUAUAGGUUCAAUUGUUCUGCCAAACGCUUCAAAACACUUUCUUUCUUUCUUUUUAUUUGAAAGGGGAAGAAGGAUGGAGAAUGCUUUGACGCAUUUGGAACGUCAACUCGACCGUGGCCAGGUAACUAUUCGAAAGUGACGCCGUCGGUAAUGCGGAUGUCGAUUCGAUAGGAAUCGACUGACUUUGGUGAUUACGCGUGUCAUAAAUGCCGUAUUUCGUCAGUGCAGACGGCGGUCUUGUGACAUCAAGUUUAAAGAUGGCCGAGCGAUUCUCUCCUAGCGACGAUUCUGAAAUCCGAACCAUCAAUUAAAUGUUAAUAUCAAAAUAUAUUCGAGAGACGAGUUUCCGCAACCAAUUUUUCUUCCACGUAACAUGAAACGAUAUCCUCACCACUGGAAACAGAACGAUAGAAUCAAUUAGACCAUAAAUAUUUUCAAACUAUGACGUUACGAAUUAACGAUUCGACAUAGUUUGAAAAAUGUGAAUUGCCUUUCUUUGCGUUUGCCUCGCUCGAUAUGCGAAUGGGAUCUAGUAUUCGAUAUAAAGUCGUAAUCUUGAUUCUGAACGCGAUACACUAGCAGACUAGCUAAUCAUGCGUGAUCAUUUGCGUAUCGGUGUCUUUGUAUCAUUUUGUAGUGUAACGGUAAUCUUAUAGAGACGUUAUGCAUAUAUAAUACGUACGUAAUGCUUGUGGAAAAAUUGGAAAAGACAAUGAAAAUUAAUAAGAAAUAAUAUAAAAAAUUACAGAAAACAUAUAACUAACAAUUGGGUUUCGUAACAAACAUCAUACCUGAUACACGUGUAAUUACACGUACAUCAUGUACGAUGAUAUUGGUUCGCGACAAACGUGAUAAUCGCAUUAAAAAACAAACAAACUCUGAUGACAACUCAAUUGACACACAAACGCUAUCAUCUGAUUGAUCGAUAAAAUUUAACCGACAGUAGUGUCGGACACAGUUUUCUUCGUCCUAUGUAGCAUUACACUUUCACCUCGACUUAUGAUUGAACUGAUAAUUUUCUCACAAGUCUGUGAAGAAUAAUCUACGUUAAAGAUAAUCACGAGACAAGGUAAACGUAAACGUGUACAAUGACAAUUGUAUUAGAAUUAUCUGAUUAACUGGAUUAUAAACGUUUUCAUUCCGAGACAAAUAAAAACUUAUGAUAAAAAUCC
Ooceraea biroi (clonal raider ant) is the source of this 1390-nucleotide long non-coding RNA. RefSeq lists it as uncharacterized. Lineage: Eukaryota; Metazoa; Arthropoda; Insecta; Hymenoptera; Formicidae. The record is from RefSeq and is a predicted model, not a curated record.